Long non-coding RNA from Cyprinus carpio (common carp), 846 nucleotides. RefSeq lists it as uncharacterized. The record is from RefSeq and is a predicted model, not a curated record. Lineage: Eukaryota; Metazoa; Chordata; Actinopteri; Cypriniformes; Cyprinidae. The transcript is spliced from 2 exons.
CUCUGUGUAGUAACAGCUGCUCUAUGUGAAAUCACUCACCUGAUGGAAUUUACCACUGAUUGGAGAACCGGCUUUACUGACCAGAUGCGCAUUAAUUAUCGGCCGAUAUUUAUUGUGCACCCCUAAUAUUUAGGCAAACUCUGUUCAAAAGCUUUCACCCCCCCGGCUUUUAAUGCAUGGUUUUAUCUUCUGGAGUAUCAGAGGGGACCAGCAUGGUGUAGUAUUUGCAAAAUGCAGAGACCAGUGAUGCAUUCCUGCACAUUUUGUGCCUUGAGGACCAGACAAUGACAUCCCAGAUCAUCGCCAUUGAUUCGGGCCAUGCCACUGAAAUGGACUCAUCACUUGAGGCUGUUGAUCUUUGUUUCAAAUUCUUUUUCUGUUGAUCUUUCUAGUCCUUUUUGUGCUUUAUGUUAACUAUGCUAAGCAGUGUCUUCCUACCUGAGAAUUUCUCCAGCAUGCAGGAUAUCAUAUUGAUGGAAAUGAGUCUAAAUGUGUGAAGUUUUUGAGGGCAACAGUUUUUUUUCUGCUCACUUGUAACAUUUCAAAUUUUGUGUCACAUGAAUUGUCUGUUGUAGGAUUCUUUGUUUGGCUUAGUUUUAAUAGCACAGUGUUUGUUCUGACUCUCGUGUGGCAAUAAUCAAUUAUUGAGUGUUCUGAUGAUGCAAGGUUGACAAAGAAUAGGAAUUUACGGUGCCUAGUUUACACUGUUUUGUGGUUUAAAGAAAUCUACAAAAUCUUGUUUUUAUUUGUGUCUGUAAGGGUUGGAUGAAAUGUGUGACAGCACCCAUUCAAAAAUUGUUUUAAAAAGAAAUGUCAAAACUUAUUAAAUGGAUAUGUACAGUUGCA